Molecule: long non-coding RNA, 6485 nt
Organism: Bubalus bubalis (water buffalo)
Lineage: Eukaryota; Metazoa; Chordata; Mammalia; Artiodactyla; Bovidae
Exons: 3
Source: RefSeq, a predicted model, not a curated record
UAGAUCCCACAUGCUGCAACUAAGAGUUUGAACGCUGAAACUAAAGAUCCCGCGUGCCACAACGACAACCCAGUGCAGCCACGUGCAUAAAUAUUAAAAAAAAAAAUUCAUUGAAAUGCCAUCAUCCAGAAAUAGUUAAAAUUUUGGUGUCUUUCUUAUGUGUUUCUGUUAAUGGUUUUAUGUAAUACUACCCAUCAGUUUUUGAUCUCUUAUCAUAUAUCAGUCACUGUGCUGAGAAUCUGCCAGGGGUUGUCGUUUUAAUCCUUAUGAACUAGGUACUAGUACUAUUAUUAUUAUCAUUUUACAAAUGAACAAAAUUAGUUAAAAAAAACUUCCAAGUUCAUAAGCUUGUAAUUGGAAAGGCCAGGAUUUAUAUAAAUUGGUAUUAUUGUUAUUAUUAAUCAUGAAGAAAUUGGGAUCAUACUGUCUUGCAAUCAUUUCAUCUGUAUAUCUUUAUAUCCUUAGCAUGCCUUUGAUGGGGAGGCUUUUUAAUGACUGCCUUUGUAUUUUGUCAUAUAAAUGUAAUAUAAUUUAUCACCUGGGAUGACAUUUAUGACGUUUCUAAAUUUCUCAUUAUUACAAUUAUUGUAAUGAUAAGCCCUGCUUGUCACAGGUCUUCAUUGCUGUUUCUGAUUAUUUCCAGAGCCUUUAUUCCUCUAGCAGAAUUGCUAAUUCAGUGGGCGAGCAUAUUUUCAAAGCUUCUGAUACAUGUUACCAAAUUGCCUUCCAGGAUACACUCCUCUCCACUCUACUCCCCACUCCACCCCCCCAAAGUUUGAUGGACCCAUUUCCCUUGAUCCCUUGCCAGUACUGAGAUUCUCAUUUGAAGAAACCUUGACUAAUUUGCUAGGUGAAACAUACCAUAUUUGAAUCAUGUUUUUUUCCAUCAUUGUCUUCAGUAAGGUCCUACAUAGUGUUUGUUGAAUGAAUGAUCCCGUUUUGAGUUUCGGGAUCUGUAGUUUUUACCCCUCUUUUGUUUGCACCUUGUAAUCAAAAUAAGCCAUUAAGAAAUUGAGUGGUGGAAUAUGAGAGUAUUUUGUACCAAGUGAGCCUCUCCUGUAGGGAAAAGGCAUAAAUACUGUGUUCCUUUAAUAUUUUGCUGGUUUGGAGGCUUUGUGUGCCUAAAGGAGGAUAGUUUUAUUUCUAUGUUCUUGGCUAUGGAUCCUGUUGAAAUGAUGGUGUAAGUAAGCAGAUGAGCAAAACAGUAUGUUUUACAUUGUAUUAUUCUCUAUCUCUUGUCUCUGUGUAGAACCUUUUAUGAGCUCCUUGAAGGCAAGCAUUGUGCACUUUAUUCACAAUGUUGAGAAAAGUUAUCCUUAUUUAUGAGUACUAUUAUCCAAUAAAAUUGAAUAUAAGUCAAGUCUCAUUUUCUACUUGUUGAAAAUCCAUCAGAUGUUUCUUUCUUUUUCUUUUUUUUUGCCUUGCUGCAUAGUUUGUGGGAUUUUAGUUCCCCAACCAGGGCUGGAACCCACACCCUUGGCAGUGAGAGUGUGGAGUCCUAGGCAACUCCCCAAUCAGAUGUUUCAUUGUAAAAAUCAUUUUGCAGACAUUUGUUACACACUUAUUGAAUUCCUGAUACUCUGUUUGGCUCCUGGUUUGAAGAACACUGUGCAGCUGUGUGAAGCAGUUUAGGUGAUAGACGAUAGGGAUUGCAUGUAAGAUUUUGGAAUAGAGCUGAGAUGCUGUGGAGACAGAAAAGACUCCCUGGGGAAUGUUGGUCAGGGACACUUGCAUGAAGCAAGUAGGGCCUUAAUCUGAGCCAUGAAGGAAGUGUCUGCUUUUCAUUUGCAGAGGUGUAAGGACUCUUCCAGAUGGGGAAGCGGUGAGCGAAAGUCCAGAGCCAGAAAUGAGGAAAGGGAGGAUGAGAAGAAGAGCUGCCAACUGAAACAGAUUUUGUUUCAGUGAGAAAUCAGGAGAAUUAUUGCAAAAGGUAUUAUCACUGUGAAGUUGAAUUUGAAAAUGGCGGUAAGGUCAAGUGUCGCAGGACAUGCUCAAGUUCUUGCAUGCUUUAGGACUCUUUGAUUUCACUCUGUGUUGCUAGAAUUGAAUCCACCCACCUGCUCCUCCUUCCUCUCAAGUCUGAGUCGUCAGCGUCUUUAAAGUUGUGGUGAUGAAAGUAUGGCCCUUGGCUCCCAGUGUGGGGGCCAUCUCAAGAUCCUUUCAUAGCAGAGCCCCUCAGCUUCAGAUGCUUUUGCUACUCAGAUGUUAUUUACUUUUUUCAUCAUGUUAACAUUUAAACUGAUGGUGCAAAAGCAGUGGCAGGUAAAACUGCUCGUGCCUUUCCCUAAAUCAAGGCAGUGGCACCAAAAUCAUUCCUCCCUCGUGGUGAAAAAGAAAAAAGAGAAUCACGUUCCCUUCAGAUUGUUCUUCGUGAAACAGUAAAAGAAAUAUUAAUUUUAUCUAAUCUUGAUUCCCAAUAACACUUUUCCUUUUCUAAAAAAAAAAAAAAUAGUUGGUCUCUCUCUCUCUUUUUUUUUUUUUCCACUGUUGUGUGCACCCUGUGGGAUCUUAGUUCCCUAACUAGGAAUCAAACCUGGGCCCCCGGUGGAAGUGCAGAGUCCUAACCACUGGACUGCCUAGGAAGUCCCAACUUUUUAAAAGUUAUGAUUAGCCAACAAUAAAACCGACCCUUUUUAGUGUAUACUUCUGUGAAAUUUGACAAAUGCAUGUAGUCAGUAACCACCACCUCCACAAGUAAGUUGUAGGACAGAUCCAUCACCUCUAGAAGUUUCUCUCUGUCCCCCUCCCGCCAUGUCCAGCACCUGGCAACUACUGAUGUGUUUUCUCUCCCUAUAGUUCUGCCUCCUCUGUAAUGUUACAGAAAUGGAAUCAUACAUUGUGUGGCCAUCUAACUUCUUACACUUUGCAUGAUGCAUUUGGGAUUUGUCCUUAUUGUUGCACGUAGGCAUGGUUUGUUCCUUUUUAUUGCUGAGUACUAUUCCAUUGUGAAGGUGUACCAGAGCUGUCCAUUCCUUGGUUGAAGGACAUUUGGCUUGUUUUCAGUUUUUGGCUAUUAUGACUAAAACCACUGUAAGAAUUUGCAGGUUGUUGUGUGAGUGUGUGUGUUUUUGUGUCAUCUUGAAGUGGCGUUGUUGGGUCAUAUGGUAAAUGUAUGUUUUGUAUGUUUAAUUUUAAGAAACAACUACACUGUUUUCCAGAAUGGCUGUACAAGUUUGUGUUGCCACCAGCAAUCCAUGAGAGUUCCAGUCACUCCACUACCUGGUCAGCACUUGGCAUUGUCGGUUGGUUGUGUGAGGCCAUUCCAAGUUUGUAGUGGAAUCUCAUUAUGGAUUUACUUUGCAUUUUUCUAAUGACUAAUGGUAUUGGGCAUCGUUUCGUGUGCUUACUUGUCACUUAUAUGUUAUCUCUAGCGAAGUGACUGUGCAGAUCUUUUGCCCUACCCCCCUUUUUUUUAAGAAAUCAACUCAGUUUUCUUUUUUAAAGAUUUGUUUGUUUAUUUUGGAAUGUGCUGGGUCUUCAUUGUGCCCAUUUUUUUAAUUGGGUUUGUUUAAGUUUUGAGAGUUUAAUAUAUAUAUAUGUAUAUUGUAGAUACAAGUUAUUUAAUCAGAAGCGUAACUCACAGUUGUUUUCUCCCAACCUCAGUACGCACUUUAAUAUUCUUCGUGACAGCAUGAGAGAGUGCAUGGGGCACUUUUGCUGUACUGUAAGAUGACUGACUCCAGCGAAGGCCCUUCGGUGAUGCAGUUGCAAGCUGAAAUAGCUUGCUUUUUCCUCCACAGAAUCUCAUUUUCUUCUUCAAAGAAUGACUUGCAGACUGGUUAUUGAGACUUGCAUAUGCUCACAAGGAUCAAAAUUAUCCAUUAAAAACCUUGAGAUUUUUCUCAAAAAUGAAUGAGGUGAACCUGUCACUUCUUGGAAAACAACUGACAAUAUUUUUACGGAUGAUGAAAUUAGGGCCUUUUUUAAAAAAAGAAUUUGGGAAGCUUGAUUCAACUUGUAUCAUGUUACAGAUUCCAAGUAGUUAAAGUUUUUGUAGUGGGAUUGGUGGUGAUACUAUUGUAUGAUUUUGGAUGUUGUGUAAUGAAAUGAGUCAGCAUUUGGAAGAUCUUUGAUGCUUGGUAAAAUACUUUGCAAAUGACCAGUACAUGAUGGGUGAAAGAUUCAUUCACUAUAGAAGAUGGAGCAGUGAGUUGCAAUGUAUGAGGUGUUCACAAGGUCUUUGGUGUGGUUUCAGCUUCAUAUUGCCGCUAAGCUUUAAGAAACUGCCACUUGUCGAGUUUUCUUAGAGCGACAAAAAAGAAUAUCCACAAUUAUCUGAAAAGACUGUUAAAGUACUCCUCGCUUUUCCAACUAUAUAUCUGUAUGAGGCUGGAUUUCUGUCAUCUGCUUCAACCAAAACAUAUGUAAACCAUCAGUGUAAACGCAGUUGUAAGAAUAUACCUGUCCUGCUGUUAAACCAGAUAUUAAAGAUUUGCAAAAAUGUGAAUCAGUGCCAGUCUUCUCACUAAAUAUUUUUAUUUAAGAAAUUUUUUGCAAAACAUUAACAUACAGUAAUUUCAUUGUAAUGUUUUAUUAAUUGGUAAAUAUUUUAAAAUAUGUUUGAAUUUCUAAUACGGUAUGUGACAACAGAUAAAGAGCCCACAUCAAAUUAAGUUCUUUGGGGGUCUUCAGUAAUUUUGAAAAGUGCAGAAGAGCCCUGAGACCAAAAAAGUUUAUGGAUCAGUGCUUAAGAGUUUAAUUCCAGCAUCCUGGUUGUCUGGUGGUGGUGGAGAAUGUGGUAUGCUCCAGCCUGAGACUUCUAGUUUUCAAAAAACAAUUCAGAAUUCAGAUUUCCUUUACAGAACUGGUAAUUUUUAUGUCCUUUAGAAUGAGAUAUAUCGUCUUAGAUAACUUUUUAACUGCCUUCUAUUAUCAGAGAAGGUAUUCAACACAAUUCAACACAAACUUCCCUUCACCAAGUACUUCAUAUUAUGGGAAAAUGUAUGCCCUUUUCUUUACCAGAUCAGCCAGAAACCUCAAUAAAGAGUAAAAAUAGUAGAUUUGCAUCUCAGUUACUUAGUCCUUCCUCUUUUUGUCUCAGAUAAGAGUUUCUCUUUAGCACUUAAAGCAUAGGGCUGAUGUGAGAGGAGCAAUGAGGGGACUUGCUGAAACCAUGCACUGGGUGUGAACAUAGUAGACUGUUCCUGGUAGAUUGAUUGUGGGCCACAGAGCUCAGUGAUUUAUCCAGCCGGAUCCAGUGUCUAUAAUUCUGUAUUUAACAUUCAGCUUUUUAGCUCUCAUCAGUAUUCACAGUCCAAGAUAUUAUAAGGUACCUUUUUUCAUUUUGUUAGUGCUGUCUCCUCUGACACUUGAAAUGUCAGAGGGAAUAGGAUGCAUGCAGCUCCCUGUUUUAAAGCCAUAGGCAACAAGCACACUGAUUGAACACCCAGAAGAGUCGGUUAAGAAAUUAUGGAAGGAUCAUAACAGAUAUCUUAGUUUAGGAGCAUGAAGGUUAUAAUCUUUGUACACAAGAGACCAUGAUUAUAAAAUGACUCCUUUUUGGCUUUUAUACAUGGUAGUGUUAGAUUAUAACAUUUAAUGGUAGAUAUUGGCCCAGUGGUGGGGAGAAAGGUUUUUAAGACCUUGCGGCUGUAUCUAUAACCUAAAAGAAAAUAGACCGUAGUACUUAAUGGCCUAGUCUCACCCCCUGAACUUGAAGCACACUAAUCUUCUGUGCAGAGUAGAAAGUACAGUAGAGAUAUAUAAAGCUAAUACUGUUGGGGAAUCUUCUAAUGAGAUUUUGAAUUUUAAAAUGUCUCAGGUUAAAAUACUUACCUUCUAAAAGACAAGCUGUGUAACAGUAACUCUUCUAUCUACCCUUUUUUACCCCCCUUUCACAGCAGUCUUCCUAAGGAAAAGAAAGUUGUUUUAGAAUCUUCAUCUGAAUAUAAAUUACUUCGCACCAACUAGCAGCAUGUGUGAAUGUUAAUGGUCCUUUAGUUAAUUUGUAUUAUAGCUUCUUAGAUUAUUAAGUAUGGUCUGUUAGAAAAAUUAAAUUUUGUCCUUUACAAAAUUUAAAGGACACCCUGGUGGCUCAGAUGGUAAGGAACCCACCUGCCAAUGCAGGAGACACAGGAGACGCAGGUUUGAUCCCUGAGUUGGGAAGAUCCCCUGGAGAAAGAAAUGGCAACCCACUCCAGUAUUUUUGCCUGGAAAAUCCCACCGACAGAGCAACCUGGGGUCACAAAGAAUGAAACGACUGAGUGGCUGGCAGUUUCACUUUACGAACAAACUUGAUGUUAUAGCUGCUUAAGUGGUGGCUGUUUUAUUUUGAAAUCAACUGAAAACAUAAUACUCAGACUAUAAUUUAAAUUUUUGAAUUUUGAUAUUUGUCUGUGAAGAGCCUUCUGUAACAACGGAGAAACACUUUGGGGAAUGGUGGUUCGUUGCUGAGAGUGGGGUCUGAUUGCAAUGGUUAACAUAAGUCUUGUGUUAACUUGUUCAUAGUAAGUGUUGUCUCAUUUCUCUCCUUUCCCUUCACCUGG